Molecule: non-coding RNA, 167 nt
Filed under: Pelodiscus sinensis (Chinese soft-shelled turtle)
Lineage: Eukaryota; Metazoa; Chordata; Testudines; Trionychidae
Description: Eukaryotic small subunit ribosomal RNA
Rfam family: Eukaryotic small subunit ribosomal RNA
Source: Rfam by way of RNAcentral
GGCAGUUAUAGGCUGGUGCUCAGUGGCGCGGUUUGCCUGGCUCAUUCUGAUAACAAACGAGACUCUGGCAUGCUAACUAGUUAUGCAACUCCCAAGCAGUUGGAUCCAACUUCUUAGAGGGCCAUGUGGCAUUCAGCCAUGGGAGACUGAGCAGUAACAGGUCUGUG